AAAUUGAAGAGUUUGAUCAUGGCUCAGAUUGAACGCUGGCGGCAGGCCUAACACAUGCAAGUCGAACGGUAGCACAGAGAGCUUGCUCUCGGGUGACGAGUGGCGGACGGGUGAGUAAUGUCUGGGAAACUGCCUGAUGGAGGGGGAUAACUACUGGAAACGGUGGCUAAUACCGCAUAACGUCGCAAGACCAAAGAGGGGGACCUUCGGGCCUCUUGCCAUCAGAUGUGCCCAGAUGGGAUUAGCUGGUUGGUGAGGUAACGGCUCACCAAGGCGACGAUCCCUAGCUGGUCUGAGA
This 298-nucleotide ribosomal RNA is filed under the name Salmonella enterica subsp. enterica serovar Agona. Its description in RNAcentral is "partial 16S ribosomal RNA". It matches the Rfam family "Bacterial small subunit ribosomal RNA", at positions 1 to 297 of the family's 1533-position model. The record is from RNAcentral. Lineage: Bacteria; Pseudomonadati; Pseudomonadota; Gammaproteobacteria; Enterobacterales; Enterobacteriaceae.